AGCAGCCGCGGUAAUUCCAGCUCCAUUAGCGUAUAUUAAAGUUGUUGCAGUUAAAAAGCUCGUAGUUGAAUUUCGGGGUCAGUAGGCUGGUCGUGCCACCGGUACGUACUGGUCUCACUGAUUCCUCCUUCCUGAAGAACCGUAAUGCCAUUAAUUUGGUGUUGCGGGGAAACAGGACUGUUACUUUGAAAAAAUUAGAGUGUUUAAAGCAGGCUAACGCUUGAAUACAUUAGCAUGGAAUAAUGAAAUAGGACGAUCGAUCCUAUUUUGUUGGUUUCUAGGAUUGACGUAAUGAUUAAUAGGGAUAGUUGGGGGCAUUAGUAUUCAAUUGUCAGAGGUGAAAUUCUUGGAUUUAUUGAAGACUAACUACUGCGAAAGCAUUUGCCAAGGAUGUUUUCAUUAAUCAAGAACGAAAGUUAGGGGAUCGAAGACGAUCAGAUACCGUCGUAG
Molecule: ribosomal RNA, 450 nt
Filed under: uncultured Glomus
Lineage: Eukaryota; Fungi; Glomeromycota; Glomeromycetes; Glomerales; Glomeraceae
Description: SSU rRNA
Rfam family: Eukaryotic small subunit ribosomal RNA
Source: RNAcentral